This is an RNA transcript of Quercus lobata, 1277 nucleotides long. It is a transcript of the gene named acyl-coenzyme A thioesterase 8-like, with no coding region annotated. Lineage: Eukaryota; Viridiplantae; Streptophyta; Magnoliopsida; Fagales; Fagaceae. The record is from RefSeq and is a predicted model, not a curated record. The transcript has 6 exons.
UAGAAAAAAGAAAAAUAAUCACCGGCAGCAAAUGCAUGCAAGCACACCAACACACAGACAUAGUGCUUUCUCUAUUUCAGAUCCUAUUUGAUAUAAGCUUGUGUGCCUCCAGUAAAGUAGACCGGGAUAGCCUUCUAGUAAGAGCCUAAGAAUAAAGUGAACCAUAAUUAUGUCUGUAUUCGGCUUCACUUGAAGAUAGGAACCAGAAAAUCUGCCAGAUAUGCGACCUGUCAACUUGUUUAAACUGAAUUGUAUUUAAUGCUAUCAAUACUUUUCUGCUAGUUUUACGAAUUGAUAGAGACAAGCAUGGGACAAUGUUUCGUAGUUCUGUUAUGUCUGCUUAUGUUUUGCAUUGAGUACCGUUGCUUGUUUUUCCUGGGUAAUGUGUACUUUGCAGUAAUUGUGAAAUUGGAUGGAUUUUCAUUGUUAUUGUACCUAAAGAUCAUCUUUUGAUUAUGAGCCUAACAACCGAAUGAAAGCUGUUGUUUGGUUAGAUUAUUUACUCUAAUUUUUUCAUCUUAAAUAGCUAAAAUGUGUUUGGCUGAUUUAGGACUUAUGGGAACAAGAUGGCCGCUAAAAAUUUCAUUCCUUGGCCCAUAGAGAUACAAUUUUGUGAGCCCAAUGCUUCAACCAAUCAGACUAAAUCUCCUCCAAGUUCGAGGUAUUGGUUUAGAGCAAAAGGCUAACUCUCUGAUGAUCAGGCCUUGCAUAGAUGUGUAGUGGCAUAUACUUCGGAUCUGAUAUUUCUUCAAGUAUGAAUCCCCACCAUCGGAAGAAUUUGAAGACAAGUGUUGUUAGUCUGGACCACUGGGCCUGCUUUUAUAAUGGAGCUUAAGCUGUUAUAUGUCUGAAAAAGAUGACCAAAUCAUAUUUUGCUAACAUGGCUCUUGAUUUUAAACGAGAAGCAUGAAGUGAAUUCAGGAUGCACUUUCACCGGCCUCUCAGAGCUGAUGACUGGCUAUUAUUUGUGGUACGUGCCAUAGAGUGUUUAGUUUUCAUGUUUAGUUUUGUUUUGAUGCUUGUGCUUGCAAGUUUGUUUUGGCUUUUUCCCCCAGAUAUACAGUCCCGUUGCCUACAAUGCACGCGGUUUUGUUUCUGGUAAAAUUCUCAAUAGAAAGAGUGAGCAUGUUGCAUCGGCAACUCAAGAGGGCCUAAUUAGGGUGAUUAAAAGUCCAAUUCCACCUGUGACUUCGAAGCUGUGAACUGGUUGAUGCUAGGUCGUGUCAAUGGAGUAUUAUGCUGAACUUUUUGUUAUCCAUCAGGUUUAUGUGCCAAGA